AUACGUAGGGGGCGAGCGUUGUCCGGAAUGAUUGGGCGUAAAGGGCGCGUAGGCGGCCCGGUAAGUCUGGAGUGAAAGUCCUGUUUUUAAGAUGGGAAUUGCUUUGGAUACUGUCGGGCUUGAGUGCAGGAGAGGUAAGUGGAAUUCCCAGUGUAGCGGUGAAAUGCGUAGAGAUUGGGAGGAACACCAGUGGCGAAGGCGACUUACUGGACUGUAACUGGCGCUGAGGCGCGAAAGCGUGGGGAGCAAACAGGAUUAGAUACCCUGGUAGUCCACGCCGUAAAUGAUGAAUACUAGGUGUAGGGGGUAUCGACUCCCUCUGUGCCGCAGUUAACACAAUAAGUAUUCCGCCUGGGGAGUACGGCCGCAAGGUUGAAACUUAAAUGAAUUGGCGGGG
RNAcentral lists this ribosomal RNA (397 nucleotides) under uncultured bacterium. RNAcentral's name for it is "partial 16S ribosomal RNA". It matches the Rfam family "Bacterial small subunit ribosomal RNA", at positions 523 to 918 of the family's 1533-position model. The record is from RNAcentral.